RNAcentral lists this ribosomal RNA (372 nucleotides) under uncultured organism. RNAcentral describes it as "partial 16S ribosomal RNA". It matches the Rfam family "Bacterial small subunit ribosomal RNA", at positions 527 to 896 of the family's 1533-position model. The record is from RNAcentral.
GUAGGUGGCAAGCGUUGUCCGGAAUAUUGGGCGUAAAGCGCGCGCAGGGCGGUCCUUUAAGUCUGAUGUGAAAGCCCACGGCUCAACCGUGGAGGGUCAUUGGAAACUGGGGGACUUGAGUACAGAAGAGGAAAGCGGAAUUCCAAGUGUAGCGGUGAAAUGCGUAGAGAUUUGGAGGAACACCAGUGGCGAAGGCGGCUUUCUGGUCUGUAACUGACGCUGAGGCGCGAAAGCGUGGGGAGCAAACAGGAUUAGGUACCCUGGUAGUCCACGCCGUAAACGAUGAGUGCUAAGUGUUAGGGGGUUUCCGCCCCUUAGUGCUGCAGCUAACGCAUUAAGCACUCCGCCUGGGGAGUACGGCCGCAAAGGCUG